Molecule: ribosomal RNA, 468 nt
Filed under: uncultured bacterium
Lineage: Bacteria
Description: partial 16S ribosomal RNA
Rfam family: Bacterial small subunit ribosomal RNA
Source: RNAcentral
GACGAACGCUGGCGGCGUGCUUAACACAUGCAAGUCGAACGGAAAGGCCCUGCUUUUGUGGGGUGCUCGAGUGGCGAACGGGUGAGUAACACGUGAGUAACCUGCCCUUGACUUUGGGAUAACUUCAGGAAACUGGGGCUAAUACCGGAUAGGAGCUCCUGCUGCAUGGUGGGGGUUGGAAAGUUUCGGCGGUUGGGGAUGGACUCGCGGCUUAUCAGCUUGUUGGUGGGGUAGUGGCUUACCAAGGCUUUGACGGGUAGCCGGCCUGAGAGGGUGACCGGCCACAUUGGGACUGAGAUGCGGCCCAGACUCCUCCGGGAGGCAGCAGUGGGGAAGAUUGCACAAUGGGCGGAAGCCUGAUGCAGCAACGCCGCGUGCGGGAUGACGGCCUUCGGGUUGUAAACCGCUUUCGCCUGUGACGAAGCGUGAGUGACGGUAAUGGGUAAAGAAGCACCGGCUAACUACGUG